This 483-nucleotide ribosomal RNA is filed under the name uncultured bacterium. RNAcentral's name for it is "partial 16S ribosomal RNA". It matches the Rfam family "Bacterial small subunit ribosomal RNA", at positions 28 to 523 of the family's 1533-position model. The record is from RNAcentral.
AAUGAACGUUGGCGGCGUGGAUUAGGCAUGCAAGUCGAGCGAUAACCGUAGCAAUACGGGGACAGCGGCGAAAGGGAGAGUAACGCGUGGAUAAUCUACCCUCGGGACUGGGAUAGCCGCGGGAAGCUGCGGGUAAUACCGGAUAAUGUCUUCGGACCAAAGGUGCGAUUCCGCCCGGGGAUGAGUCCGCGUCCUAUUAGCUAGUUGGUGGGGUAAUGGCCUACCAAGGCGAAGAUGGGUACGGGGUGUGAGAGCAUGCCCCCGCUCACUGGGACUGAGACACUGCCCAGACACCUACGGGUGGCUGCAGUCGAGAAUCUUCGGCAAUGGGCGCAAGCCUGACCGAGCGACGCCGCGUGCGGGAUGAAGGCCUUCGGGUUGUAGACCGCUGUCGGAGGGGAGGAAAUGCACGGGGGUUCUCCCUCGUGUUUGACCUAGCCUCAGAGGAAGGACGGGCUAAGUUCGUGCCAGCAGCCGCAGUAA